AUUGAACGCUGGCGGCAGGCCUAACACAUGCAAGUCGAACGGUAGCACAGAGAGCUUGCUCUCGGGUGACGAGUGGCGGACGGGUGAGUAAUGUCUGGGAAACUGCCCGAUGGAGGGGGAUAACUACUGGAAACGGUAGCUAAUACCGCAUAAUGUCGCAAGACCACAGAGGGGGACCUUCGGGCCUCUUGCCAUCGGAUGUGCCCAGAUGGGAUUAGCUAGUUGGUGAGGUAAUGGCUCACCAAGGCGACGAUCCCUAGCUGGUCUGAGAGGAUGACCAGCCACACUGGAACUGAGACACGGUCCAGACUCCUACGGGAGGCAGCAGUGGGGAAUAUUGCACAAUGGGCGCAAGCCUGAUGCAGCCAUGCCGCGUGUGUGAAGAAGGCCUUCGGGUUGUAAAGCACUUUCAGCGGGGAGGAAGGCAAUACGGUUAAUAACCGUGUUGAUUGACGUUACCCGCAGAAGAAGCACCGGCUAACUCCGUG
This 488-nucleotide ribosomal RNA is filed under the name uncultured bacterium. Its description in RNAcentral is "partial 16S ribosomal RNA". It matches the Rfam family "Bacterial small subunit ribosomal RNA", at positions 30 to 507 of the family's 1533-position model. The record is from RNAcentral.